GCAUGCGUUCCAUUAGUAGUGGGGGGGGUAACGGCCCACCAAGCCGGCGAUGGAUAGGGGUUCUGAGAGGAAGGUCCCCCCACACUGGUACUGAGACACGGACCAGACUCCUACGGGAGGCAGCAGUGAGGAAUAUUGGUCAAUGGGCGUAAGCCUGAACCAGCCAAGUCGCGUGGAGGAAGACGGCCCUACGGGUUGUAAACUCCUUUUAGGGGGGAAUAAAGCGCGGGACGCGUCCCGUCUUGCAUGUACCCCCUGAAUAAGCAUCGGCUAACUCCGUGCCAGCAGCCGCGGUAAUACGGAGGAUGCGAGCGUUAUCCGGAUUUAUUGGGUUUAAAGGGUGCGUAGGUCGGCGUUUAAGCCGGCGGUGAAAACUUGUCGCUCAACGAUAAGCCUGCCGUCGGAACUGGGCGCCUUGAGUUCGUUUGAGGCAGGCGGAAUGCGUGGUGUAGCGGUGAAAUGCAUAGAUAUCACGCAGAACCCCGAUUGCGAAGGCAGCUUGCCAAGCCGCGACUGACACUGAAGCACGAAAGCGUGGGUAUCAAACAGGAUUAGAUACCCUGGUAGUCCACGCUGUAAACGAUGAUCACUAGCUGUUUGCGAUACACGGUAAGCGGCACAGCGAAAGCGUUAAGUGAUCCACCUGGGGAGUACGC
This 656-nucleotide ribosomal RNA is filed under the name uncultured bacterium. RNAcentral's name for it is "bacterial SSU rRNA". It matches the Rfam family "Bacterial small subunit ribosomal RNA", at positions 229 to 885 of the family's 1533-position model. The record is from RNAcentral.